RNAcentral lists this ribosomal RNA (468 nucleotides) under uncultured bacterium. RNAcentral describes it as "partial 16S ribosomal RNA". It matches the Rfam family "Bacterial small subunit ribosomal RNA", at positions 28 to 507 of the family's 1533-position model. The record is from RNAcentral.
GACGAACGCUGGCGGCGUGCUUAACACAUGCAAGUCGAACGGAAAGGCCCUGCUUUUGUGGGGUGCUCGAGUGGCGAACGGGUGAGUAACACGUGAGUAACCUGCCCUUGACUUUGGGAUAACUUCAGGAAACUGGGGCUAAUACCGGAUAUGAGCUCCUGCUGCAUGGUGGGGGUUGGAAAGAUUCGGCGGUUGGGGAUGGACUCGCGGCUUAUCAGCUUGUUGGUGGGGUAGUGGCUUACCAAGGCUUUGACGGGUAGCCGGCCUGAGAGGGUGACCGGCCACAUUGGGACUGAGAUACGGCCCAGACUCCUACGGGAGGCAGCAGUGGGGAAUAUUGCACAAUGGGCGGAAGCCUGAUGCAGCAACGCCGCGUGCGGGAUGACGGCCUUCGAGUUGUAAACCGCUUUCGCCGGUGACGAAGCGUGAGUGACGGUAAUGGGUAAAGAAGCACCGGCUAACUACGUG